Molecule: ribosomal RNA, 329 nt
Filed under: uncultured eukaryote
Lineage: Eukaryota
Description: partial 18S ribosomal RNA
Rfam family: Eukaryotic small subunit ribosomal RNA
Source: RNAcentral
CCCUUAGAUGUCCUGGGCCGCACGCGCGCUACACUGAGUGUCUGAGAUACGAGUCUGCCCGGUCCGGCAAGGUCUAGGUAAUCGCUAAAAGACACAUCAUGCUUGGGAUAGAUUAUUGCAAAUAUUAAUCUUGAACGAGGAAUUCCUAGUAAGCGCAAGCCAACAGCUUGCGUUGAUUACGUCCCUGCCCUUUGUACACACCGCCCGUCGCUACUACUGAUUGGAUGUUUAAGCGAGGUUCUCGAACUGCUAGCGACUUAGCUUCGGUGAGGUCGCAGUGUGGGAAGUGAACCUAGCUUUGGUGUCUAGAGGAAGUAAAAGUCGUAACA